This 830-nucleotide long non-coding RNA is filed under the name Homo sapiens (human). Its description in RNAcentral is "HSALNT0076181". The record is from RNAcentral. Lineage: Eukaryota; Metazoa; Chordata; Mammalia; Primates; Hominidae.
UCCCAUCCAGCGAGAGAAACCUAGCUCCCAGAGCCGGUGCAGUCAGUCCCCUCGCCCCUCCCGCCCCUGCACGGGUCCCCCUCUAGCCGUCGCUGCAACCACCACCUCGGUUCCACUCAACCGAUUUUUGCUGCAUGUCAACACUUAUUACCGCUGUUACCUAAACAACAAACUAGACACACUUCACUGCAAACAGUGGGAAGAAUGGUGUUACCUUUGAUGAAACAUCCAUGGAACAUUUGCAUUUCAUGAGCAGCUUUAUGGUGAGAAAUUGAAACCUCCUGCCAACAGCCAUGUGAGUGAGCUUGGAAGCAGAUUCUCCAGCUCUUCAAAUAAUGGCAGCCCCAGAAAACAACUUAAAUGCAACCUCCUGAGAGUCUCUGAGCUAGAACUACCUAGCUAAACUGCUGUGAGAUUCUUCAACCUCAAAACUGGGAUGAGAUAACAAAUAUUUAUUGUUUUAAGGAAUCUUCAAAUGAUAAUUUUGAAAAGAGAAGCAGUCCUUUUCAUGAUGAAGAGAUGAGUUGUCAAAAGCCGAUCACUCAUUCUGGGAGAAGACAACCGUCAUAUCAUGUCAUGAAGAUACUCAUGCAGUCCUAUGGAGAAUUUCAUUGGUAAGAAACUGAGCUAGAAUGAACUUGACAGCCUUGUGAGAGAGCCAUCUUAGAAGCAGACCUUCAGCCUCAGACAGCUUUCAGAGGAUUGUAGCCCCAGCUGAAACAUCAACCACAAUCUCAUGAGAGACACUGAACCAGAAUCACCCAGCCAAGCUGUUCCCAAAUUCCUGAGCCAUAGAAACUGUGUGAGAUAAUAAAUGUUUAUUGUUGUUC